RNAcentral lists this ribosomal RNA (256 nucleotides) under uncultured bacterium. Its description in RNAcentral is "partial 16S ribosomal RNA". It matches the Rfam family "Bacterial small subunit ribosomal RNA", at positions 98 to 354 of the family's 1533-position model. The record is from RNAcentral.
CGGGACGGGUGAGUAACGCGUGGAUAACCUGCCUUUCACAGGGGGAUAACAGCUGGAAACGGCUGCUAAUACCGCAUGAGCCUCUUUUGUCGCAUGAGGAGAGAGGGAAAGAGAAAUCGGUGAGAGAUGGAUCCGCGUCCGAUUAGCUAGUUGGAGGGGUAACAGCCCACCAAGGCGACGAUCGGUAGCCGACCUGAGAGGGUGGACGGCCACAUUGGGACUGAGACACGGCCCAAACUCCUACGGAAGGCAGCAG